AUGGCCGACUCGUCAACUUCUUCAAUGUCUUUCUCAUCUCAAACAAAUCAAAACCCUAAUCCCUCACCCACCAGUCCAUCACCGCCCUCAUGUCUCCCACCACUAUCGUUCGCCGCCAACCCACACCAGCGGAGAAACCGUGACAACUAGAUGAACGGUUGCAUUGGAGCAGACGCAACGACAACUUUUAGGGUUCAUGUGCGCAUCUCCUCGCCGGGAUUCGGUGCAUUUUUGGUCCAGCUUUUCUAAUUAGGCAUAUUUAUGUUACGAGAGGGUAGUUGUAGUUUUGAUGUUGAUGGCUUCCAUCCUCUCAACAUUGGCAAACUUGCUAUGAAAGGCAAAGACACACUCUUUCUUCCCUACACCCCAGAGAACCCACCCUAUAUGGAUGCCCAAAACCGAUCUGCCAUUGACGUCAAGCAAAGCUGCCAAGUGGCGUGCGUGUGCAAAAGAAAGAUUAGAUAUUUACAUAACAUUAAAAGAUCUUUAUAUGUUGAAUCUUAAAUGUUCAUAUCGCGGGGAUUUGUUAUUGUGAAAGAACUUGAGCAACUUGAGCGCCAACUUGAAUUUACUUUGAGUCA
Molecule: long non-coding RNA, 581 nt
Filed under: Helianthus annuus (common sunflower)
Lineage: Eukaryota; Viridiplantae; Streptophyta; Magnoliopsida; Asterales; Asteraceae
Source: RNAcentral